UUAAGCGACUAAGCGUACACGGUGGAUGCCCUGGCAGUCAGAGGCGAUGAAGGACGUGCUAAUCUGCGAAAAGCGUCGGUAAGGUGAUAUGAACCGUUAUAACCGGCGAUGUCCGAAUGGGGAAACCCAGUGCAAUUCGUUGCACUAUCGUUAACUGAAUACAUAGGUUAGCGAGGCGAACCGGGGAACUGAAACAUCUAAGUACCCCGAGGAAAAGAAAUCAACCGAGAUUCCCCCAGUAGCGGCGAGCGAACGGGGAGCAGCCCAGAGUCUGAAUCAGCUUGUGUGUUAGUGGAACGGUCUGGAAAGUCCGACGGUACAGGGUGAUAGUCCCGUACACCAAAAUGCACAGGUUGUGAACUCGAAGAGUAGGGCGGGACACGUGGUAUCCUGUCUGAAUAUGGGGGGACCAUCCUCCAAGGCUAAAUACUCCUGACUGACCGAUAGUGAACCAGUACCGUGAGGGAAAGGCGAAAAGAACCCCGGCGAGGGGAGUGAAAAAGAACCUGAAACCGUGUACGUACAAGCAGUGGGAGCACCUUCGGGUGUGACUGCGUACCUUUUGUAUAAUGGGUCAGCGACUUAUAUUCUGUAGCAAGGUUAACCGUAUAGGGGAGCCGCAGGGAAACCGAGUCUUAACUGGGCGUUAAGUUGCAGGGUAUAGACCCGAAACCCGGUGAUCUAGCCAUGGGCAGGUUGAAGGUUGGGUAACACUAACUGGAGGACCGAACCGACUAAUGUUGAAAAAUUAGCGGAUGACUUGUGGCUGGGGGUGAAAGGCCAAUCAAACCGGGAGAUAGCUGGUUCUCCCCGAAAGCUAUUUAGGUAGCGCCUCGUGAACUCAUCUUCGGGGGUAGAGCACUGUUUCGGCUAGGGGGUCAUCCCGACUUACCAACCCGAUGCAAACUACGAAUACCGAAGAAUGUUAUCACGGGAGACACACGGCGGGUGCUAACGUCCGUCGUGAAGAGGGAAACAACCCAGACCGCCAGCUAAGGUCCCAAAGUCAUGGUUAAGUGGGAAACGAUGUGGGAAGGCACAGACAGCCAGGAUGUUGGCUUAGAAGCAGCCAUCAUUUAAAGAAAGCGUAAUAGCUCACUGGUCGAGUCGGCCUGCGCGGAAGAUGUAACGGGGCUAAACCAUGCACCGAAGCUGCGGCAGCGACACUAUGUGUUGUUGGGUAGGGGAGCGUUCUGUAAGCCUGCGAAGGUGACCUGUGAGGGUUGCUGGAGGUAUCAGAAGUGCGAAUGCUGACAUAAGUAACGAUAAAGCGGGUGAAAAGCCCGCUCGCCGGAAGACCAAGGGUUCCUGUCCAACGUUAAUCGGGGCAGGGUGAGUCGACCCCUAAGGCGAGGCCGAAAGGCGUAGUCGAUGGGAAACAGGUUAAUAUUCCUGUACUUGGUGUUACUGCGAAGGGGGGACGGAGAAGGCUAUGUUAGCCGGGCGACGGUUGUCCCGGUUUAAGCAUGUAGGCUGGUUGUCCAGGCAAAUCCGGAUAAUCAAGGCUGAGGUGUGAUGACGAGGCACUACGGUGCUGAAGUAACAAAUGCCCUGCUUCCAGGAAAAGCCUCUAAGCAUCAGGUAACAUUAAAUCGUACCCCAAACCGACACAGGUGGUCAGGUAGAGAAUACCAAGGCGCUUGAGAGAACUCGGGUGAAGGAACUAGGCAAAAUGGUGCCGUAACUUCGGGAGAAGGCACGCUGGUGUGUAGGUGAAGCCCCUGCGGGUGGAGCUGAGACCAGUCGAAGAUACCAGCUGGCUGCAACUGUUUAUUAAAAACACAGCACUGUGCAAACACGAAAGUGGACGUAUACGGUGUGACGCCUGCCCGGUGCCGGAAGGUUAAUUGAUGGGGUUAUCCGUAAGGAGAAGCUCUUGAUCGAAGCCCCGGUAAACGGCGGCCGUAACUAUAACGGUCCUAAGGUAGCGAAAUUCCUUGUCGGGUAAGUUCCGACCUGCACGAAUGGCGUAAUGAUGGCCAGGCUGUCUCCACCCGAGACUCAGUGAAAUUGAACUCGCUGUGAAGAUGCAGUGUACCCGCGGCAAGACGGAAAGACCCCGUGAACCUUUACUAUAGCUUGACACUGAACAUUGAGCCUUGAUGUGUAGGAUAGGUGGGAGGCUUUGAAGCGUGGACGCCAGUCUGCGUGGAGCCAACCUUGAAAUACCACCCUUUAAUGUUUGAUGUUCUAACGUUGGCCCCUUACCGGGGUUGCGGACAGUGUCUGGUGGGUAGUUUGACUGGGGCGGUCUCCUCCCAAAGCGUAACGGAGGAGCACGAAGGUUAGCUAAUCCUGGUCGGACAUCAGGAGGUUAGUGCAAUGGCAUAAGCUAGCUUGACUGCGAGCGUGACGGCGCGAGCAGGUGCGAAAGCAGGUCAUAGUGAUCCGGUGGUUCUGAAUGGAAGGGCCAUCGCUCAACGGAUAAAAGGUACUCCGGGGAUAACAGGCUGAUACCGCCCAAGAGUUCAUAUCGACGGCGGUGUUUGGCACCUCGAUGUCGGCUCAUCACAUCCUGGGGCUGAAGUAGGUCCCAAGGGUAUGGCUGUUCGCCAUUUAAAGUGGUACGCGAGCUGGGUUUAGAACGUCGUGAGACAGUUCGGUCCCUAUCUGCCGUGGGCGCUGGAGAAUUGAGGGGGGCUGCUCCUAGUACGAGAGGACCGGAGUGGACGCAUCACUGGUGUUCGGGUUGUCAUGCCAAUGGCACUGCCCGGUAGCUAAAUGCGGAAGAGAUAAGUGCUGAAAGCAUCUAAGCACGAAACUUGCCCCGAGAUGAGUUCUCCCUGAGACUUUAAGUCUCCUGAAGGAACGUUGAAGACGACGACGUUGAUAGGCCGGGUGUGUAAGCGCAGCGAUGCGUUGAGCUAACCGGUACUAAUGAACCGUGAGGCUUAACCUU
This 2899-nucleotide ribosomal RNA is filed under the name Klebsiella pneumoniae subsp. rhinoscleromatis. RNAcentral's name for it is "bacterial LSU rRNA". It matches the Rfam family "Bacterial large subunit ribosomal RNA". The record is from RNAcentral. Lineage: Bacteria; Pseudomonadati; Pseudomonadota; Gammaproteobacteria; Enterobacterales; Enterobacteriaceae.